RNAcentral lists this ribosomal RNA (234 nucleotides) under Escherichia coli. RNAcentral's name for it is "partial 16S ribosomal RNA". It matches the Rfam family "Bacterial small subunit ribosomal RNA", at positions 1 to 229 of the family's 1533-position model. The record is from RNAcentral. Lineage: Bacteria; Pseudomonadati; Pseudomonadota; Gammaproteobacteria; Enterobacterales; Enterobacteriaceae.
UUAAAUUGAAGAGUUUGAUCAUGGCUCAGAUUGAACGCUGGCGGCAGGCCUAACACAUGCAAGUCGAACGGUAACAGGAAGCAGCUUGCUGCUUCGCUGACGAGUGGCGGACGGGUGAGUAAUGUCUGGGAAACUGCCUGAUGGAGGGGGAUAACUACUGGAAACGGUAGCUAAUACCGCAUAACGUCGCAAGACCAAAGAGGGGGAUCUUCGGACCUCUUGCCAUCGGAUGUG